Molecule: long non-coding RNA, 2079 nt
Organism: Mesocricetus auratus (golden hamster)
Lineage: Eukaryota; Metazoa; Chordata; Mammalia; Rodentia; Cricetidae
Exons: 2
Source: RefSeq, a predicted model, not a curated record
AUGGGACUAUAGGUGUGUGCUACCACUGGCUGGUUCAUGCUUUUCCUUUUUGUGGUAAAUUUAUAUUGUGUGAAAUAUACUAUUUUAGCAAUUUUAGGUCUAUGUGAGUUCAAGGCCAGCCUGGUCUACAGAGCAAAUGCCAGGACAGGCUCCAAAGCAACACAGAGAAACCCUGUCUUGAAAAACCAAAAGAAAAAAAAAGAUUAAGAGGUGGUGGUGUCGGCACCCAGCUUUAGUCUCAGUAGUCAGGAGGCAGAGGCUGGCGGAUCUCUUUGAGUUCAAGGUCACGCCCAGUGACAGAGACCAUUUCGGCUGCAGGGCUCUCAGCUCCAGCACCAUGUCUGUCUUCAUGCCAUCAUGUCACUAUGGUGAUAAUGAACUGAACUGAAAACGUAAGCUGCCCCAACUAAACGUUUUUCAUUUAUAAGAGUUGCCGUGGUCCUGGUGUCUCUUCACGGCAAUAGAAACCCUAACUAAGACAGACGAUGACACAGGAGUGGAGUGUUGCUGAUAGGUCCGACCAGGCUUUCUUUUGAAUGAAUAUAAACCCUGGGGCUGAAGAUUAGAACAGCAGCUGAAUGCUUUAAGUGCUGCUGAAUGGGGCCAUCCUAGUAGGAACACGGAAGAUAGAUGCUUACUGUGAUUUGCACUGUGGGUGCCUGCAUCAAGAGGUUUCAGAGAAGAAUAAUAUUAAUAUAUGGCCUAGAAAUCGUUCUUGUGAUAUUUCCGUAAGGAAUAUGACUGCUUUUUGCCCUUGUCCAAAGAAUUUGCCUGAGGCUAAAACAAAGAGAUUUGGAUUAAUUCUAUUGGCAAAGGAAAUCUCAAAACAGCCCUUAUAGACUUGGUCCUGUGGUUACCAGUGUUCAUGCUUAUAAAGAUUUAUAAUGAAAUGGAGCAAGCUGAGCAAAUAAAAAUAUAAAAUGUGCAGAUUGAGAAAAGGGGCACCAGGAAGUGGAAUGGAAUUAAGUCCUGUGUUCGAGGAGAUAAACAUUAAGAAAUGGACUAAGGGGACUGGUGACCUCCGGGCAACACCCCACCCAGCUAAGUUUCCAGUUUAUGAAAUGGGAUUAAAAGAAAGCUUGAAGCCAGAUGUGGUGGUGCACGCCUUUAGCCCCAGCACUUGGAAGGCAAAGGCUGGUGGAUCUCUGAGUUUGAGUGGUGGAUCUCUGAGUUCGAGGUCAGCCUGGGCUACAGAACAAGUUCUAGAACUUAGGCAGUGAAGGAAACCAUGGAAACAGAAAGCUGGUUAAGAUGUAGCUGUAAGAGGGGCCGUGUCCCAACCCCAGUAAGCAGCAACUGCUUACUGGCCACGUGGUUCUAGAGCUAAGGAUAAAAGAAAAGGCAUAUGUCAGGAGUAUCCCAGAAUGGAGGCCUAGAGAGACUAUUGCAUGAAGCUGUUGUAAAGUUGAAGCCUAGAUCGCCUUGGAGACCCCAAGAUGUUGGAGAUGCCAGAGCCGUGGGACACCUGCCGAGGAUUGCUGUCAACAGGGAGUGGAACCAGCCCUAGAGAGAGAUGUUUGCUGCACUCAAAGCUGAAAAGACUCCGAUGUGGAUGGCCCUGCUGGGACACCCCUUGGGGGAGGGGGUGAGAAGAUGCAGCACCAAGGACUCAGGCCCUGGGAGUCGGUGAUUACAUUUAAGAGACUGCAUGAAUCUCAGAAGAGACUUUGAACUGUGGACUUCAAAGCAUUGCUGAGACUGUGAUAGACCAUGGGGACUUUUGAAGUUGGACUAAAUGCAUUUUUGCAUUACAAUAUGGCUAUAAGCCUUUGGGGGCCAGGGAAUAGACUGUAGUGGUCUGAGAGAAAACGGCCCCUAAAAGAAGUGACAUUAUUAGGAGGUGUGAUCUUGUUGGAAUAGGUAUGGCCCUGUUGGACAAGCGUGUCACUGUGGAGGUGGUCUUUGAGGUCUCAUGUAUGCUCAAGCCACACCCAGUGUCUCAGACCACUUCCUGUUGCUUGCAUUUCAAAGUGUAGCCAGCACCAAGUCUGCCUGUGCGCUGCCAUGUCCCGCCAUGGUGAUGAUGGACUAACCCUCUGAAAAUGUAAGCCACCCCAAUUAAAUGUUUUUCCUUUGUAA